This is a non-coding RNA of Xyrichtys novacula (pearly razorfish), 542 nucleotides long. The record is from the annotation of a GenBank genome assembly. NCBI's taxonomy places the organism in Eukaryota, Metazoa, Chordata, Actinopteri, Labriformes, Labridae.
CUGGAUCUUUCGUUCACUCGGUCUUUCGUUCAACUCGUUCAUCGGUCUGGGUCUUUCGUUCAACUCGGUCUUUCGUUCAACUUGUUCAUCCGUCUGGAUCUUUCGUUCAACUCGGUCUUUCGUUCACUCGGUCUUUCGUUCAACUCGUUCAUCCGUCUGGAUCUUUCGUUCACUCGGUCUUUCGUUCAACUCAGUCUUUCGUUCAUUUGACCCGUUCUUUCAGUCAACUAGGUCUUUCGUUCAUUUGACCCGUUCUUUCAGUCAACUAGGUCUUUCGUUCAUUUGACCCGUUCUUUCAGUCAACUCGGUCAUUCCGGUCUUUCAGUCAGCUCAGUAGUACUGCUGCUGCUUCUCUAAGCCCCACCCACACACAGAACGAGGCGCGACGAUAGGAUAAGACAGGCAAGCAGUCCCUCUUCAGCCAAUCAAAAGAACUGAACGGAUUGAACGGGUCAUUUAGGGGGGGAGAACUAGUUCAUUUCGUUCAUCAAAAAGAACUAGUUCUUUUGAUCCGUUCGUUCAAGACCGACACACCACUACUG